RNAcentral lists this transfer RNA (84 nucleotides) under Deltaproteobacteria bacterium. RNAcentral's name for it is "tRNA-Val". It matches the Rfam family "tRNA", at positions 9 to 71 of the family's 71-position model. From Rfam's summary of the family: Transfer RNA (tRNA) molecules are approximately 80 nucleotides in length. Their secondary structure includes four short double-helical elements and three loops (D, anti-codon, and T loops). Further hydrogen bonds mediate the characteristic L-shaped molecular structure. tRNAs have two regions of fundamental functional importance: the anti-codon, which is responsible for specific mRNA codon recognition, and the 3' end, to which the tRNAs corresponding amino acid is attached (by aminoacyl-tRNA synthetases). tRNAs cope with the degeneracy of the genetic code in two manners: having more than one tRNA (with a specific anti-codon) for a particular amino acid; and 'wobble' base-pairing, i.e. permitting non-standard base-pairing at the 3rd anti-codon position. The record is from RNAcentral. Lineage: Bacteria; Pseudomonadati; Myxococcota; Myxococcia.
GGGAUAAGAUAACAGCAGGUUACGGAACAAUCCUGCGGCCUUACAAGCCGAAGGUCACAGGUUCAAGCCCUGUUCCGCCCACCA